AAGAAGUCUUGGAGAAGAGAAAGAGAAGAAAAUUACCAUAAAAAGUUGGACAUGAGAGCGUAGAAGUCUAUUAAGACAGAGCGUGGAAGUGACAUUAGAGGUGCUGUUAACACUGGGAGUAGUGCUUUCUCUCACUGAGGCGCUGACGGCAAGUGUCUGAGGUAGCAGUCUCUGAAGUAUUAGUGCAUGACUGAAGAAACUUUAUGAUAGGAAAAGAUUCAAAGGUGGGGGACAGUGGAUAAG
Long non-coding RNA from Cebus imitator (Panamanian white-faced capuchin), 243 nucleotides. RefSeq lists it as uncharacterized. The transcript has 3 exons. NCBI's taxonomy places the organism in Eukaryota, Metazoa, Chordata, Mammalia, Primates, Cebidae. The record is from RefSeq and is a predicted model, not a curated record.